AGAGAGAGAGAGAGAGAGAGAGAGUUGGACUAGGCUACUAUUAGUAGCAAAAUUCUAUUGUUGCUACCAGUUUUUUAGUCUUUGGAUCAACUCUUUUCAUUAUUUCUAACCAUUGGAUUAAAUACUAUAACCCAGUGGGGACCACUCAACCCUAGAGGGACCACUCAACUCUAACCGACUAAUAUCAUUAUGACCUACAAUUUUUCAUCUAAGGGUUAAAAACUUGAUAACAAAAAGAGCGUUAUAUAUAUAUAUAUAUAUAUAUAUAUAUAUGUAUGCCUCAUUGUUGUUUUUUGUUU
Molecule: long non-coding RNA, 299 nt
Filed under: Ananas comosus (pineapple)
Lineage: Eukaryota; Viridiplantae; Streptophyta; Magnoliopsida; Poales; Bromeliaceae
Description: long non-coding RNA (ACOM_LNC025407)
Source: RNAcentral